RNAcentral lists this ribosomal RNA (504 nucleotides) under uncultured bacterium. Its description in RNAcentral is "bacterial SSU rRNA". It matches the Rfam family "Bacterial small subunit ribosomal RNA", at positions 376 to 896 of the family's 1533-position model. The record is from RNAcentral.
CGAAAGUGUGACGGAGCAAUGCCGCGUGCAGGAUGAAGCGGCUUCGCCGUGUAAACUGCUGUCAGGGGUCAGAAACACUGAUCGACCCCAAAGGAAGAGCCGGCUAACCCUGUGCCAGCAGCCGCGGUAAUACAGGGGGCUCAAGCGUUAAUCGGAAUCACUGGGCUUAAAGGGUGCGCAGGCGGACGCGAAAGUGUCCUGUGAAAUCCCCCGGCUCAACCGGGGAAUUGCGGGGCAAACUACGCGUCUCGAGGCGGGUAGAGGCUGUCGGAACGCUAGGUGGAGCGGUGAAAUGCGUAGAGAUCUAGCGGAACGCCAAAGGUGAAGACAGGCAGCUGGGCCCGUCCUGACGCUCAGGCACGAAAGCGUGGGGAUCAAACGGGAUUAGAUACCCCGGUAGUCCACGCCCUAAACGAUGCGCGCUAGAUUGGUGCGGCUCUGACGCCGUAUCGGUCGUAGAGAAAUCGAUAAGCGCGCCGCCUGGGAAGUACGGUCGCAAGGCUA